This 421-nucleotide ribosomal RNA is filed under the name uncultured eukaryote. RNAcentral describes it as "bacterial SSU rRNA". It matches the Rfam family "Eukaryotic small subunit ribosomal RNA", at positions 592 to 1016 of the family's 1831-position model. The record is from RNAcentral.
CAAUAGCGUAUAUUAAAGUUGUUGCGGUUAAAAAAGCUCGUAGUUGGAUUUCUGCCGAGGACGACCGGUCCGCCCUCUGGGUGAGCAUCUGGCUCGGCCUGGGCAUCUUCUUGGAGAACGUAUCUGCACUUGACUGUGUGGUGCGGUAUUCAGGACUUUUACUUUGAGGAAAUUAGAGUGUUUCAAGCAGGCAUACGCCUUGAAUACAUUAGCAUGGAAUAAUAAGAUAGGACCUCGGUUCUAUUUUGUUGGUUUCUAGAUCUGAGGUAAUGAUUAAGAGGGACAGACGGGGCAUUGCGUACUGGGCCGCCAGAGGUGAAAUUCUUUAACUGGCUCAUGACGAACCACUGCGAAAGCAUUUGCCAAGAAUGUUUUCAUUAAUCAAGAACGAAAGUCAGAGGGUCGAAGACGAUCAGAUACC